RNAcentral lists this long non-coding RNA (4979 nucleotides) under Sus scrofa (pig). RNAcentral describes it as "lncRNA (ENSSSCG00000054053.1)". The record is from RNAcentral. Lineage: Eukaryota; Metazoa; Chordata; Mammalia; Artiodactyla; Suidae.
AAAUGGGUAGAAACUUCAAAGACUGCUAUUUACACCUCUCUUACUUUUGGUAUUACACAAACAUUAAAGCAAUAUUUAAAAACUUAUAAAAAUGUAUUUCACUCAGAAUCCAACCAUCCCAGAAAUUUACAGCUUUUUGUCUAUUUCCUUUCAUUUCUAAUCCACAUGCAUACACAAUUUUAUAUAUUAUAAUUAUAAUUGUGUGUUUUGAUUUUGUACUCAAUACCAAAUUGUAAACACUUUAACAUAUUUGUUAUUUUAUGUGUCCUUAUAAUGAUUGUUUACUUAACUCUUUUCUUAUCUUAGAUAUUUAGGUGUUCAUGCAUAUUUAUGUACAUUUCAAUUUAAAUACCUGUAUUUAUCAAACAUUUUUGUCCUUAUCUUGGAUCUUUUUCUCUUGCAGAGAAAGUAGAAUUCUGGCUUAAGUGUUAGUUUCUAAAUAUUCAGAGUAUACUAGAUAUGAGGCUAUGGAAAAGCUUCUAUAUUUUCUAAGUCUGACUCUCAUAAAAUAAAAAAUGGAGGGAGUUCCCAGCGUGGUACAGCAUGGUACAGCAUGGUUAAGAAUCCAACUGUAGUGGCUCCAGUCACUGAGGAGGUGCAAGUUUGAUCCCUCACCUGUGAACUUCCAUAUUGCUGCGGGUAUGGACAUAAAAUUAAAAAAAAUGAAAAAUGGAAAUAAAAAUAGGAUUUAUAUUAUACAAUUUUUAAAAGGAUUAAAUGCAAAGAUGUAUAAGAAUAUGCGGAGUGUCUGGGAAAAUUCCUAGAAAUUAAACUAUCAAGGCAAAGAACAUGACUACACAUAUUCUUUCCAAAACUGUCGCACAAGUUGUUAACUUCCAGAAUAUUCAGCUGCCAGCCAAAAAGAUAAAAACCAGUCUUCAAUACCUUCAACAAAAAAACAAAAAGCUGAACUGAUUGCUGACUUGAGGAAGGCAAGGAUACAUUGGCGAGACCGAGGGUCUCAAAGCAAAGACUGCUAUUAUACAGAGGUUGGAAGCAGAGUGGAAUUCAGUGAUUAGCAGAUUUUCAAGUAAAUGUAUGCAUGUCAUUUGUAGAAACAUGGCUCCCCAGGUGGGAAUGUCACUGACUGACUUUCAGAAGUGUGUUUUUCAGAGUGAGUCCUUUUCUGAUCACUGACUUUCAGAAGUUAGACUGUUACUAACUGGUUGAUUUGCAAAUGCAUGUUUGCUGAAACUUUACAUGAAAUCAGUUUUGAUGAUUUCUAGAAUUGUCAUUGACUGAGUAAGCAGGUAUACAACCAGAUCUGGUGACUACUUGCUAUCACAACUAUAGAAAAGAUAGUCAUUCCUAAGAGUGUAGGAAUAUUUUAUUCUCAAGCUCUAUUUCGAAUAGCCAUGUGAGUAAAUUCUUUCUUGGGGAAAAUGAUGAAGAAUGCCAAGAAGGGCUCUCCAUAAGGAAGACUAGGAAACAACUAGUAAUUUGCUUUUAAUGCAGUCUUUUAAUUGACAAAACUAUAUCAGUAUCGAACAGUGAAAUUAAAUGUGGAAUGUUACUCCCAUAGAAAAGAGAGUGAAACUAAGAUUAUUAAAAGGUAAGUAUAUUUUAUGUAAGUUAAUAAAGUUGUCAAAGAAUAUUUGAUUCCUACUUCAUUAUUUAAAAAAAUUUAAAAUUUUACAUUUUGGUGGAAUCAUAAAUGCCAUCUUUUUAUUAAACUUUUUAGUUUAUGGAUCUGUUUUCCUCUAAAUUUAUACUUACCUAGAGUAUCUGAUUAUUUUCGUUGUUUGGUUUUGGUUAUUUGCAUCUUUUCUCUCUCCCUCCUUUUAAUAUAUAUCAUGUUCUUCCCUGCUUGUAUUUUAUUCUAGAAUGACUUCCAAUCUUCUCCCAGGGAGUUGUCCCUGCCAGUUUCAAAAUCUUUUUUGGUUUUCUUCCUCCUGAAUUUGUGUUCUCCUCCAUAGUCAGCAAUUAUGAAUACUUCCUUUUUUGUAAACGGAAUUCAGUUUCUGAAAUAUUGGCUUCUUUUGUUUCUAUUUCUACUCCUUCUGUUAAUCUAUCAUGUACAAAUAACUCUCCUCUCUUCCUUUGAUUUAACUUUCCAAAUGAACUAUUAUUUCUCUUUCCCUUUUGAGAACCAUGUUAAUUAGAUAGGUCCAGGUUAACCCACUGCAGAUAAUGUUCAUAUCUUCCAUCUGUCACUCUACUACAGCUCAUUCCUGCACCAUCAGUAGAUGAUCCAUCCCAGCUUGACCUCAUAAAUAGAGUUUGUAUUCUAAGAUCAGACAAAAUGACAAGUGAUUCCCAUUUCUUCCAUCUACUGGCUGAUGUGACCUUAUGUGGGUAAUUUAAGCUCUAUGUGUCUCACUUUCUUUAACUGUAAAGUGUGAAUUCUAGCACAAAGGACAGUUAAGAAGACGCAAUGAAAGCUUAUACAGGAAACACCUAGCACACAUUCUCUAUGCUGGAGAAACUACAUAAAUGAUCUAUCUUAUUUGUGUUUAUUUCUUAUUAUCACUUACCAAAUUGACUUUUUCUCAGCAUUGCAUAACCAAAAGACACAUGGAGCCUAAUGUCAAAAGCCCAGUGUCUUUGUCUGUCAGGAUGUUAGGUAGGUAAAUUUCUCUAAUUUUACUCAUUUGGGAGUAGUAAUAAUUCCUUCUCUAUCUUAAUUUCAUUGUGAAAAUGGCAAAUUAAAAUGUGAUAAUGAUUACAAAAGUACUCGUAAUCAUUAUAGUAACAGUAACUGCUGGCAUUUUUUAGUUUGGCAUCAUCUACGUGCAAGACAUUAUUGACACUUAAUAUACGUGAUCUCAAUCUUUAUAAUUACUCUACCUAUCGGCGAGUUAAUAUUAUUCCUAACAUUUAUGUGAAGGAAAUGCAGCUCAGAAAGAUGAAGUAGAAGGGCCAAAGGUACAUAGCUAGGAGGGGGUAGAGCUAGAAUUGAGGUGCUCUAAAUCUCCACACCAGUGUGUGAGAGAGGGGAGAGAGAAGGAAGGAAGGAAAGAAGGGAGGGAAAGAAGAAAGGAAGGAAAGAAGGGAAAAAAAAACUCCUACAAAGAUGGUGCUUCUUCCAGGAAUGUGUGUGUAAAAUCUUCAGAGGGAAAGUCGUCCUUAGCUCGCAUGUUCUCUCCUACCCCUUUCUGCUGUCAGAGCAGGUGCACCUCUGUCCUCCCCAGAGCGGUUAAGCCUCUCUCAUGUCUCUCCCCCAGACAGGCCUAAAAAUUAUUCCACAGUCUUUGGGCAUUAUUCUUGCUUGCCUAAAGUUCUGAAACUUUAAAAAUGCUCACUCAAUCAAGCAGAAAAAUAUUUACACCAGCUCUUGUGAUUUUCUGAAGAUCCAAGACUUACUGAAAAUUAUCAAUUGCACACAAUGAGUUAUAAUUCUUCGAGGCAUUUGAAGGCAGUGUUCUCUGCUUCUGCUUCCAACUAGAAGUUUGAAUGUGGUCCAUAUAUACAUAUGUUCAUAAUUUCAGUCUACACUUGAACUCAUAGCAUUUGAUAUUAUAAAGAUACAUUUGAUCUAAAUAAAUUCCAUGGAGGCAGAGGCAAUGCUAUCUCUGCAUUAAUUUUCUGGUAGGGCUUAGUGCAUGACCAGGCAGACAAUGAGAAAUAUAAAUUGAUGAUUGAAACGAGAACGAACAACCAUGUAAAUAAUAUUAAAUAACUGAGCAGGGAAUUUAGAUCUAAGCGUCAAGGCUUAUUAACCUAAAUAAUAAUUCAUAAAAACUGAUUUAUGAAGUUUCAGAUUAUUAUUUAGCCUGAGAGGCAAUAAUUUCUCUUUUUAAAAAACUGCUUUUUCUUUAGAUAAUAUAAAGGACUUUUUUUGUUUUGUUUUGUUUUUUGUCUUUUUAGGGCUGCACCUGUGACAUAUGGAAGUUCCCAGGCUAGGGGUUGAAUCUGAGCUGUAGCUGCAGGCCUACACCACAGCCACAGCAAUGCAGAUUCCUAGCCAAAUCUGCGACCUAUAUCACAGCUCACAGAAAUGCCAGAUCAUUGACCUACUGAGCAAGGCUAAGGAUCGAAUCCACAUCCUCAUGGAUGCUAGUCAUAUUCGUUACCACUGAUCCACUCCUGUAAAGGAGUUCUUGAGGCAAAUUUAAAAUCAAUAAAUUUAAAAAGUGACAGACUCAACUGCACAAUCCAAAAUUUCAGAAUAACAAAACAGAUACUAUGAACAAAUAAAUUUAUUUGAUUUGAAAAUUUAGGAAUUAUAUUUGUAAAAAUUAUAUUUAAAAAAGGCUUAAUUUUAUAAAAUGUAAAGUGUCAACAAAUUAAUUACAAAAAGAAACAACACAAAAAAGAGGGAAAUAAAUAUAAAUAGUCAUUUCAUAAAAGGCGAGAUAAAAAUGACCUACGAAAAAGGAAAUAAUGCCCAAUCUUACUAAAUAAUAAACAGGGAAAAUGCAAUUUGUGGUUUUAUGGGAUUUUGUUUAUUAGCAUAACUUUUUUUUUUUUUUUUUACAGUCUCACCUGUGGCAUAUGGAAGUUCCUGGGCUAGGGGUUGAAUUGGAGCUGCAGCUGGGGGCCUACACUACAGCCACAGCAAUGCUAGAUCCAAGCCACAUCUGUAACCUACUCCACAUAUUGUGGCAACACCGGAUCCUUAACUCACUGAAAAAGACCAGGGAUCGAACCAGCAUCAUCAUGGAGACUAUGUGGACUCCUAACCUGCUGAGCAACAAGAAAACUUGUAGCAUAAUUUUAAAUGGAUUAUAACAUCCAUUGUUAUUAAGGGUUGGUAGACAAUUGAUUUUAAAUGGAAAUAAGGUGAGAUUUUCUGGACAUACUAUCACAAUGGAAUUUUUAAAACUUAAAGAACAUAUAUGCAACUAUGGAUACUACAUAGUUAAAGGUUUUCAGAGAAUAUUUAUUGAUGAUUAUCCAAUAAUUAAUAAAUAAUAAUUUGUUUGGAUUUUUGAACCUUUUGUUAAAUAAGCCUUUGUUGUUAUAUAUUUUUAAAAAUCAUACUAAUAGGGCAAAGGUUUGGCUGGAUUCAAGUCUUUUUAGUAAAUUAGAUACCAAUU